RNAcentral lists this long non-coding RNA (482 nucleotides) under Equus asinus (donkey). RNAcentral's name for it is "lncRNA (ENSEASG00005027044.1)". The record is from RNAcentral. Lineage: Eukaryota; Metazoa; Chordata; Mammalia; Perissodactyla; Equidae.
GAAAGGCGCCUUAGUCCAAGGGUCUCAGCUCACUUGCUGAGCGCUGUGGGAAGGUCACAUGACUGGUGGGUCGGACGGUGGCCCGCAAAAGCCAAUCCUGUAAGCGUCUGGGCGCCGCUGGAGGCGGGAGUAGAUUCAGCGUCUUUGGCCCUCUGGACUCCAUCGCUGUGGUCUACGUAGGCUCAAGCUUCUGUGUCUGUUGUGGAAACCUCUUCGCUAGUACGUCUCACAGAAACGUUAUUACUCAGAAAAAAUACGUGGAAAAUCUAGCCAUAUCCCACUGUCAAAGUGAGGACACUAAGGAUAAGAAAUUACAAGAAAAGCUGCUAUGAACGUUCAGGAAAGACAUAUUGCACUUCCCCUGUUUCAGUGUUUUCCAGAGACUUUCUCAGAAGUAAUUUAGGUGGAAAAAGAAGAAGGACAGAGACUUUUCUAGAAGCCACAAAGUAAAAUUUGCUCAGACUCUCAUGCUUAAAAAGUGC